This 345-nucleotide small RNA is filed under the name Arabidopsis thaliana (thale cress). RNAcentral's name for it is "ATSL151150". Lineage: Eukaryota; Viridiplantae; Streptophyta; Magnoliopsida; Brassicales; Brassicaceae. The record is from RNAcentral.
UUUAUAUAUUCAUGUAGUCUCAUUUGUGAGAAAUCACAAGAGACAAAUGAGAAAGUUAUUUAGAGAAUAAAGUAUCGUUCAACAAAAAUGUUCUUUCUCUGUUUAAUAUAUAUGUGACACAUCUGUUGUAAUGUAACAACAGUGUGGUAUAACACCUCUGUUCUAUCAUCUUUGUUUCUAACAAAUUGUUCAAAGCUCAUACAACUAUUGAGACAAGGCACACGAGUUCAAUUCUAUCUUAGGUGAUAAGUCACUCCUCUACUUAGUGUAAACCAAUCACCAAAGCCCUAAAGACGACUAUUUUCAAGUAACAUUUAGUCCAUACUAUUAAGCUAUUUAAGCAAU